This 389-nucleotide ribosomal RNA is filed under the name uncultured bacterium. Its description in RNAcentral is "partial 16S ribosomal RNA". It matches the Rfam family "Bacterial small subunit ribosomal RNA", at positions 523 to 918 of the family's 1533-position model. The record is from RNAcentral.
AUACAUAGGGGGCAAGCGUUAUCCGGAAUUAUUGGGCGUAAAGCGUGCGUAGGCGGUUUAUUAAGUCUGAUGUUAAAUCCCACAGCUCAACUGUGGGCUGCCAUUGGUCACUGCUAGACUUGAGUGCGGUCGAGGUAAGUGGAAUUCCAAGGGGAGCGGUGGAAUGCGUAGAUAUUUGGAGGAACACCAGUGGCGAAGGCGCUUCACUAGCCCGAAACUGACGCUCAGUCACGAAAGCGUGGGUAGCAAAUAGGAUUAGAUACCCUAGUAGUCCACGCUGUAAACGAUGACAACUAAAUAUUGCCGCGAGGCAGUGUUGAAGCUAACGCAUUAAGUUGUCCGCCUGGGGAGUACGGUCGCAAGACUGAAACUUAAAGGAAUUGACGGGG